This is a long non-coding RNA of Amphiprion ocellaris (clown anemonefish), 1118 nucleotides long. Lineage: Eukaryota; Metazoa; Chordata; Actinopteri; Pomacentridae. The record is from Ensembl.
CUGAAUUUUUGGAUUUUUUUUCAGACAAAGUAACAACAUUUUUUGGUGCCUGUAAAUGAGGACAACAGGAGGAUUAAAAUACCCCAAAGGUGUUCUACUGGAUGUAAGUCAUGAAACAUACUUCAGGGCAUAGUUCCUGGUGUGAUUUUGGUUCUAAUGCUGGGAUAUUUCUCUUCUUACAGCAUCUGCAGACUGGGAAUCAUCUUGUCAGCCAGUAGUUUGGUUUAUCUUCAGACAUCUAGAAAUGUCAUCAACCAUCACAUGAAUUAAAAGCACAGGGAGCUGGCAAAGAUUAGCCAAAAAGCCCAAAAGGUAACAAGCAAGGGAACAAACUGAAGCAAGAAGUAAAGUAAAAUCUUAAAAAUGUACAAACCAGUAGCUGUUGAGGAGAAGUCAGGCAGGUAAACUCCAGGUAAGUCAAUGUGCAGGUGGACCAGGAGACCAAAGAGCGCUGGCAACUAGGUAAAACUGCCAAAAAAAACAGAAGAAAAUGCAGGACUAUACUAUAAAGACAGAGAACUGAUGAGUAAACAAUACACAGGUGAAAUGAACCAAUGGGGCAGGGCAGCCUUUAAAAAAUGGAGGGAAAACUCACAAAGGAAGGAACUAAAACUCCCGGAGCAUGUAAACGACUUCAAAAUAAAACAUGAAGCAACUGAAAAGGGACAAGGAACAUGGAAACACACAAGAUGUGAUCUAACAAAAGAAAAAACAAGCACCGAAACCCAAAGACAAUGACUGCAGCCAUGAUUAGUGGUACGAUGGCUCCUUAAAUACCUCCUUAUUACUGCUGACCAAUGUUCCCUGUAAUUUUUCCUGAGUGUGAGCAAACACACAAACUCCCUGAGCGUCCCUUGGACCACUGUGAGCAACAUCAGACGUGUGCACUGUGGUCACACCAGCAUCACAUCCAUUCAAGUUACAUGGUUCAUUAAAAGAAUCAAAUUACAGCGUUUACAUUUCUGUUAAAACACUUUGUCAACAGGAGCCAGUUGAAGGCUGCAGUGAUUUUAGUGACACUACAAUGUAUAAGAGUGAAGUUACUGAAUAUUUGUCUCUCUUUACUGUUGCAGUGGUUUUGCAAAUUGCAGACGGACCCUGUUCACUCCAUAGACACC